GGGAUAGUGGCGCACCCUAGAGAUAGGGCGUUUCCUUCGGGAACGCAAUGACAGGUGGUGCAUGGUCGUCGUCAGCUCGUGUCGUGAGAUGUUGGGUUAAGUCCCGCAACGAGCGCAACCCUUGUUACUAGUUGCCAGCAUUAAGUUGGGCACUCUAGUGAGACUGCCGGUGACAAACCGGAGGAAGGUGGGGACGACGUCAGAUCAUCAUGCCCCUUAUGACCUGGGCUACACACGUGCUACAAUGGACGGUACAACGAGUCGCGAACUCGCGAGGGCAAGCAAAUCUCUUAAAACCGUUCUCAGUUCGGACUGCAGGCUGCAACUCGCCUGCACGAAGUCGGAAUCGCUAGUAAUCGCGGAUCAGCAUGCCGCGGUGAAUACGUUCCCGGGUCUUGUACACACCGAUC
RNAcentral lists this ribosomal RNA (410 nucleotides) under Limosilactobacillus fermentum. RNAcentral's name for it is "bacterial SSU rRNA". It matches the Rfam family "Bacterial small subunit ribosomal RNA", at positions 983 to 1395 of the family's 1533-position model. Lineage: Bacteria; Bacillati; Bacillota; Bacilli; Lactobacillales; Lactobacillaceae. The record is from RNAcentral.